UACAGAGGUGGCAAGCGUUGUUCGGAAUUACUGGGCGUAAAGGGCGCGUAGGCGGCUCGACAAGUCCCGCGUGAAAGCCCCCGGCUCAACUGGGGAACUGCGCGGGAAACUGUCGGACUUGAGUUCGGGAGAGGGAAGCGGAAUUCCGGGUGUAGCGGUGAAAUGCGUAGAUAUCCGGAGGAACACCGGUGGCGAAGGCGGCAUCCUGGACCGAGAUUGACGCUGAGGCGCGAAAGCCAGGGGAGCAAACGGG
Molecule: ribosomal RNA, 253 nt
Filed under: uncultured bacterium
Lineage: Bacteria
Description: partial 16S ribosomal RNA
Rfam family: Bacterial small subunit ribosomal RNA
Source: RNAcentral